GAGAGAAAGAAAAAGAUAAAAACAAGAAAUUUCACGUUGUUGCGCUUUUUUAUCUUCAGCUCGUUCUUUUUUUUGCCUCUUUGUCCCCCCUUUUUUGAAUAAU
RNAcentral lists this non-coding RNA (103 nucleotides) under Protocruzia adhaerens. Lineage: Eukaryota; Ciliophora; Spirotrichea. The record is from RNAcentral.